AUGCAUGCUGUAAAAUUUGGCUACAGAUGGAACAUAGGGGAUGGGAGCAGAACCAGGUUCUGGGAAGAUACUUGGUUUGGCACAUCCCCCCUAGCAGUCCAAUUUUGGCCUAUUUACUCUGUCCGCAAUGAGCUUAACAAAAGUGUCAAUGAAGUUUGGGACGGUCAAUGCCUAAAACUCUCUUUUAGAAGGAACUUUAUGAAGGAAAUAUGCCCUAGAGGCAAUAAUAAAGUUAUUAUUUAUUUCCUCAUCUAUCAUGAUAAAUGUUUAUUAUUCAUGCUAGAAUUGUAUUAA
RNAcentral lists this ribosomal RNA (294 nucleotides) under Triticum aestivum (bread wheat). RNAcentral's name for it is "partial small subunit ribosomal RNA". Lineage: Eukaryota; Viridiplantae; Streptophyta; Magnoliopsida; Poales; Poaceae. The record is from RNAcentral.